This 1147-nucleotide ribosomal RNA is filed under the name human gut metagenome. RNAcentral describes it as "bacterial SSU rRNA". It matches the Rfam family "Bacterial small subunit ribosomal RNA", at positions 362 to 1520 of the family's 1533-position model. The record is from RNAcentral.
UAUUGGUCAAUGGACGAGAGUCUGAACCAGCCAAGUCGCGUGAGGGAAGACUGCCCUAUGGGUUGUAAACCUCUUUUAUAAGGGAAGAAUAAGUUCUACGUGUAGAAUGAUGCCUGUACCUUAUGAAUAAGCAUCGGCUAACUCCGUGCCAGCAGCCGCGGUAAUACGGAGGAUGCGAGCGUUAUCCGGAUUUAUUGGGUUUAAAGGGUGCGUAGGCGGUUUAUUAAGUUAGUGGUUAAAUAUUUGAGCUAAACUCAAUUGUGCCAUUAAUACUGGUAAACUGGAGUACAGACGAGGUAGGCGGAAUAAGUUAAGUAGCGGUGAAAUGCAUAGAUAUAACUUAGAACUCCGAUAGCGAAGGCAGCUUACCAGACUGUAACUGACGCUGAUGCACGAGAGCGUGGGUAGCGAACAGGAUUAGAUACCCUGGUAGUCCACGCCGUAAACGAUGCUCACUGGUUCUGUGCGAUAUAUUGUACGGGAUUAAGCGAAAGUAUUAAGUGAGCCACCUGGGGAGUACGUCGGCAACGAUGAAACUCAAAGGAAUUGACGGGGGCCCGCACAAGCGGAGGAACAUGUGGUUUAAUUCGAUGAUACGCGAGGAACCUUACCCGGGUUUAAAUGGGAAAUGUCGUAUUUGGAAACAGAUAUUCUCUUCGGAGCGUUUUUCAAGGUGCUGCAUGGUUGUCGUCAGCUCGUGCCGUGAGGUGUCGGGUUAAGUCCCAUAACGAGCGCAACCCUUACCGUUAGUUGCUAGCAUGUAAUGAUGAGCACUCUAACGGGACUGCCACCGUAAGGUGAGAGGAAGGCGGGGAUGACGUCAAAUCAGCACGGCCCUUACACCCAGGGCUACACACGUGUUACAAUGGCCGGUACAGAGGGCCGCUACCAGGUGACUGGAUGCCAAUCUCAAAAGCCGGUCGUAGUUCGGAUUGGAGUCUGUAACCCGACUCCAUGAAGUUGGAUUCGCUAGUAAUCGCGCAUCAGCCAUGGCGCGGUGAAUACGUUCCCGGGCCUUGUACACACCGCCCGUCAAGCCAUGGAAGCCGGGGGUGCCUGAAGUCCGUAACCGCGAGGAUCGGCCUAGGGCAAAACUGGUAACUGGGGCUAAGUCGUAACAAGGUAGCCGUACCGGAAGGUGCGGCUG